CGGGAGGUAGCGCAGUUUGGCUUAGCGCGCUUGGUUCGGGACCAAGAGGUCGUGGGUUCAAGUCCCACCCUCCCGA
RNAcentral lists this transfer RNA (76 nucleotides) under Candidatus Omnitrophota bacterium. RNAcentral describes it as "tRNA-Pro". It matches the Rfam family "tRNA". From Rfam's summary of the family: Transfer RNA (tRNA) molecules are approximately 80 nucleotides in length. Their secondary structure includes four short double-helical elements and three loops (D, anti-codon, and T loops). Lineage: Bacteria; Pseudomonadati; Candidatus Omnitrophota. The record is from RNAcentral.